UGACGUAUAUAUCCCCAUGCAUAAAGUUUUUUCUUCACUUCAAGUUUUGCAUGCACAUUUGAACCGCGAGGCGUCAUGGAAAGCAGAUGUUGUUCGAAUGAUAUGGAACAAGACUAUACAUAUAGACGACAAGUAUAAACAUUUGCAAUUUUGCAAUGCAAAACAAAGUUGUUGCCUUCAACUAUCACCAAUGAAAAGUAUCGUUUGUUUUCUUCUGGUUACCAAAAUACGUCUCAUUUGAUUGCUCAUGUAUUUGAACAAGUUGAUAAAAAUCAAGACUGUCAACAUCUAUGAAUAUAAUUGAACAAGAAUUGGAAUCUUCGAAUUUGAAGAAACUUUUCGAAAACAUAGAAAAAUGCAGUUGAAAAUGCGUUCAUAUUACUGAAGUACAAAAGAAGAAAGGAAACGAUUGGUUAAUGUUUGCAACACUACUUCGUAAUAGGCAAUAAUUUGGGCACAAUCCGAUCAACAGCAAGAGGCCUUUGCCGAUAUUUGUGAGAUAAUAAGAUUGAUAUGUUACCACGUGGAGAGGAGAAACCAAGUCAAGUGAGUUUCAAUGGACAUACCGCACCAUAUCUUUACAAUUGAAAGCCACUGGUAAAUUAUAUACAGAUGAAUUUUAUUAGUCCGAAAUGUUGAUAGCAGCUGCAAAUGAAAUUUAAGCGAGAAAAACCAUUUUGAAAUGUAUUUCACAUGUAUUUGCUUCGAUAUUAUGUAUGCACGAAAAGAGAUCCUAUGGCUGGAAACUACAAAUUUCUUGGGAAACCUCAGGGUAAACAGAACGCCUUUAAACCCUCUUCUAACCUCAUGCCUUGCACGACAUGACUACAAGAUUCAAUGAAUUUUGGACAGAACUAAAGUCUAGUUUCAAAAUUUAUCGUCUCAAGAAUCUUAGGCUUCAUCUACACUAUACCGGAUUCGCUCAUCACGACAUCUUCGUUCCCUUUAAAGGAGUAACUGUUUGGAGUAAAAGCUCGUUAAGUUUAUAGAUUUAGUCUAUUUGGUUGUGUUUCUGACGUUGAACAAUUUCACUGCCUUUCAAUACAAAGAAAAUUUAACCUGCUACGAUAUUUAUCCGGUAUAGUGUAAACGGGGUCUUAUCCUAUCCCAUCAUAUCAUCGUUAUUUAGCAUUACGACAUUAAAAUGCAAAUAAAUCUGAAGAUU
This is a long non-coding RNA of Xenia sp. Carnegie-2017, 1165 nucleotides long. RefSeq lists it as uncharacterized. The transcript has 2 exons. NCBI's taxonomy places the organism in Eukaryota, Metazoa, Cnidaria, Anthozoa, Malacalcyonacea, Xeniidae. The record is from RefSeq and is a predicted model, not a curated record.